CCCCUGGAGCACACUUAGUGAGUAGAUGG
Molecule: non-coding RNA, 29 nt
Filed under: Rattus norvegicus (Norway rat)
Lineage: Eukaryota; Metazoa; Chordata; Mammalia; Rodentia; Muridae
Source: RNAcentral